GACAUAUCUGUCACUAAUGGGGGAUUUGGGUAUAAAUGAGAGGAGGGGCGGAUGGAGAACUAGGAUGGGCUAAAUUGGACGAAAGAUUCGAAAAGGCGAAGAAGAAGCUUUAAAAUCGCAUUUCUACACGGAGACGUAAUGAAGAAAACUGGAAAAUGAAACAUCUUAGUACCAGGGUGAUACAGAGAAAUCAAACGAGAGCCCGCAAGUAGCGGUGAGCGAAAGUGGAAUAGUUCAAUGGUCGAGUAAAUAGUGGAAGAGAGGUGCUCACAUAUCUAAGACUAAAUGUUAGUUCCAUACCGAAAGAGAGAGUACUGUAAAGGAAAGUUGAAAGAGACUUGAAAAGAGCUUGAAAUCAGUCCCUUAAAGCAGCUGUAAUACAGCGUACCUUUUGUAUAAUGGGUUUAUAAGAUAUUGUUUGGCAAAUUUAAAUUAUGUAUUGGAUAGGAGGAGAAGAGAAUGGAGGUAAAGAGAAAUCAAGGGCGCUCUCUUUAGUCAAAUUGCCCGAAACCAAGUGAUCUAACCAUGGGCAGUUUUAAGGAACGAACCGGUGGUUGUAGCAAAAACCUCGGAUGACCUGUGGUUGGGGGGGAAAGACCAAUCGAACUUGGAGAUAGCUGGUUUUCUACGAAAACUAUUUAAGUAGUGCGCCCACAACUCCGGGGGGUUGGAGUUAAAAGACUUUUUAUGGUAAAGUUUGAUCGCUCGAAAGGGGGGGAGAAACUAUGGAUGUAAAAAUCGAAGUGGACAGACAGACAGUGGGUAAGAAAGUUCAUUGUCAAAAGGGGGAGCCCUAAUCAGAAGCUAAAGUCACAGAUCGAUUGGGGCUGUCUCCAAAUAGUCAAGUGUAAAAGGAGUGUGGGACUUAAACAAUGAGGAGGUAGGCUUGGGGCCAGCCACCUUUGAAAGAGGGCGUAGUAGUCCACUCGAGAAUUUGUUUAUCCCUAAAAUUAUGGUGGCUAAAAUUGAACUGAAACUCUGGGGGCGAAGUUUGCUUGGUAGUAGAACGGACUGUCGGAUGGUUUAGUGAGAGCUCAAGCAUCAGAAGAGAUAAUGUGAACAUGAGUAAAUAAUUGUUGGACCACUUCUCCGGGUCUCCAGGCCUUGGGCUUGGGUAAUACAGCCCUUAAGGUGGUGGCCGAGGGCCACUUCGAUGGGGGAUAAUAAUAAACGUACAAAGUGCCAGGAAAGAAUUAUUAAAAGUUGGUACUGUCGUGAACUAACACAAGUGGGAGAUAGUGAGGGGGAAAGGGUUUUUAAGGAACUCGGCAAGUUUUUUGGCUCCCAUUAGGGGGUUUUUAUAACACAAGGCCUCGACUGUUUACCAAAAACAUAGCUCUUUGCUAAUAUGAAAGUAGAAGUAUGGAGGGUGAGGCCUGCCCAAUGGUUGUAUCUAAAAGGGUUGGUGGGGCCGACUUUAUAAAGACAAUUGAAUGGCUGCGGUAACACUGACCGUGAUAAUGUAGCGCAAUCAAUAGUCAAUUAAUUGUUGGCCGGUAUGAAUGGUGUCACGAAGGUCUCACUGUCUUAAGAAAAUCCCCAGUGAAAUUGAAUUUGUAGUGAAGAUGCUACAUCCAAAUUGUUAGACGAGAAGACCCCAUGGAACUUUACUGGAGACUUAUGCGGCUUAUCGGACUAAGUUCGAUCAAAUAAAUAGUUUAGAUUGUGUGGUGUUAACUGCUUUAUCUAAGGCCUAACUCUUUGGAGUAGUCUUUAGAUUUAGGCUGGUAAAAUUCACUCUUUUAUUUUAAGAAAGCUAACUCUUCUCUCGAAUUGAGUUUGAUCGGUGAGAGUAUCGCACAAGACUCUUGUCUGACUAGGAGUGGUGGAUUUCGGGGUUAGAGAAAGGAGGUAAGUUAGACAGUUUGGUUGGGGCGACCGCCUUUUAAAAAGUAACGAAGGUGAGCUUAAGAUACAUAUUUUAUAGCUGUUGUCUGACUGCGAAGGGGGGGCCCUGAGCAGACACUAAAAAGAGCCCUGGGCGGGUAAUGGUGGGUUGUAGUGACCCGUUGAUUUAAGGUGAAAUAGUUAACGAUAAACAAAUAAAAGUUACCCUGGGGAUAACAGCGCAAUAACGUUAGAGAGUUUUAUUGACGACGAUGUUUGUGACCUCGAUGUUGAAUUGCGGCAUCCUGGGGUGCAGUCGCCCCCAAGGGUGGGUCUGUUCGUCCAUUAAAGCCGUACAUGAUUUGAGUUAAAAGCGUGGUAACACAGCUUGGUUUUUAUCUACAAUUUGAAGAAACAUUGAUAUAACUAUUUUCUAGUACGAAAGGAUCGAAAAAUUAGUGGUUCUCUUAUUUUUAUAAGUUACGAUCAAUCUAUUGGCCUCCAUAGUUUUUGAGGGCGCCUUCUUGUUAAUCGCUGAUCGCCUCUAAAGUGUGAAACUUAUAUUAAGUUGUUUGAAGUCCUGUAGAGGGGGGGGGGAAAUAAUGAU
Molecule: ribosomal RNA, 2434 nt
Filed under: Corallimorphus profundus
Lineage: Eukaryota; Metazoa; Cnidaria; Anthozoa; Corallimorpharia; Corallimorphidae
Description: large subunit ribosomal RNA
Rfam family: Bacterial large subunit ribosomal RNA
Source: RNAcentral